GAAGACCAAGGGUUCCUGUCCAACGUUAAUCGGGGCAGGGUGAGUCGACCCCUAAGGCGAGGCCGAAAGGCGUAGUCGAUGGGAAACAGGUUAAUAUUCCUGUACUUGGUGUUACUGCGAAGGGGGGACGGAGAAGGCUAUGUUAGCCGGGCGACGGUUGUCCCGGUUUAAGCAUGUAGGCGGAGGUUCCAGGUAAAUCCGGUACCUUAUUAACGCUGAGGUGUGAUGACGAGGCACUACGGUGCUGAAGUAACAAAUGCCCUGCUUCCAGGAAAAGCCUCUAAGCAUCAGGUAACAUUGAAUCGUACCCCAAACCGACACAGGUGGUCAGGUAGAGAAUACCAAGGCGCUUGAGAGAACUCGGGUGAAGGAACUAGGCAAAAUGGUGCCGUAACUUCGGGAGAAGGCACGCUGAUAUGUAGGUGAAGCCCCUGCGGGUGGAGCUGAAAUCAGUCGAAGAUACCAGCUGGCUGCAACUGUUUAUUAAAAACACAGCACUGUGCAAACACG
RNAcentral lists this ribosomal RNA (510 nucleotides) under Klebsiella aerogenes. RNAcentral's name for it is "bacterial LSU rRNA". It matches the Rfam family "Bacterial large subunit ribosomal RNA", at positions 1340 to 1833 of the family's 2925-position model. The record is from RNAcentral. Lineage: Bacteria; Pseudomonadati; Pseudomonadota; Gammaproteobacteria; Enterobacterales; Enterobacteriaceae.